Molecule: long non-coding RNA, 2674 nt
Filed under: Lactuca sativa (garden lettuce)
Lineage: Eukaryota; Viridiplantae; Streptophyta; Magnoliopsida; Asterales; Asteraceae
Description: long non-coding RNA (LSAT_LNC002502)
Source: RNAcentral
GGUUAAAAAUGUAAAAUAUUGAUCUAAUUCGAAUUAAAUUAGAGUUAGAGGGACCAGAGUUGUAAUUUUGUGAAAGAUUUAAAGUGGUCGGGGAUAUAACCCGCCACCCUCACCAUGUCAAACCCUAGACCUAAGGUUCCAGCCGCCAAGAGUGAAGUAGCCGCCAUCUCACUCUCCUCGUUCUUUUCAGAUCCGACCAAGGCGCAACCCACUGCCGGCGACGCUGUGAGCGGCAAGGACCAUCGAGACAAGAUUUUUUUUAUGCCGUGAACAGCUUGUGCGGGCUGUGAACGACCGGAAUAGCGAUGGGCGCGGUGACUCUCUGCGUGGUUGUAACCGCUCGUUGUCCUUCUCCAUUCUUCUCCGGUUGUAGCUAUCGGACGUUCGUCUUGCUGCCGCCGCCGCCUAGUUCUUCAUUCCCCCCCAUUCCAGUCGUCAUCCGCCAACCCGAAGCAGCUGUUUUGGUGUGCUUGUGGGUCGAAAGCAUGGGGGUGUGGGCUGCAGUUGCUGUUCGUUUGUGAGGGCUCGUUUGGCUAGUGAAAACCCGUGAAGAGCCACCAUGGCGGCCAACCAUGGUGGUUGUCGCCGUCAUCGCCGCUUUUGCCGUUUUUCGGUGCCUUUACCGCCGCUGUAGGCCACCAAGGGGUGGCUGAGUUGCUUUGCGACCUCAUAGCGGGUGUGUGUGUGCAUCCAUUCUUGUUAGUGUGUGUUAGUCUAGCCGGAAAAGCAAGAAAGGCCACUGCCACCACCGUGAGGUGGUGGCUGCUGCCAAGCACCACCGCCGGCCACCAUGGUGUGGCUGUGUGUGUAGUAGUUAGUUUAUGUUAGUGGGUGUGUGUAUUAUUUUUUUGAUAAAAACCUUGUAAUUGUAAUUAACAUGAAUAAUAAAAGUAAUAGUAACCACCACCGUAAGGUGGUGGCCGCCGCCGUGUGCCGCCGUAGACCACCACUACCCGAGGUGGUAGUGGGUGGUGCCCCGCUAGCAAACCCUAAUGGGCUUAGAGAUUGGUUUUGGGCCUAUUGGGCCAUGUUUGGGUGGAAAACCCUAAUUAUGAGUAUUGGGCCUUAGACUAAUUGGGCCACUUGUGGGCCAUUGGGAUUGAAUUGUGAAUUAAGCCCAAAUUAUUCCAUGCCAUUUAUCUAGUAGAGUAAAGGACUUAAUGAACUAAGUCCUUAAUGGGCUAAUUGACAAAAUACUAAUAUUUGAGAGAUUAUCAGCAUACACACGAGAAUUAUUUAAUAAGUGAAAUAUUAAAUAACAAUCAUUGGCAUAAAUUAAUCUAAGCAAUAAUGGACUUAAUGGACUAAGUCCUUAGUGGGUUAAGCCCUUAAUGGGUUAAGUGAGAAACACUUAACCCUAAUUAUCAUUUUAUGUGCAACCCUAAUUUCACAUGGGCUUGGUGUGGGCCAUCCAAGAAUAAUCAAAUGGACUAGAGUAAUUAGUUGGGCUAUAGUGUAAGGCCCAUAUGAAGGAUUGGGCCCAAUUUGGAAAAUUGGGCCAUAGUUGGGCCUAGUUGGUUGUAUGAUAUUGGGCCCUUAGAAUGAGGCAUGAUGGACUAGACUGAGCAAUUGGGCCUUAAGGGAAGUCCAUGUAGAGGUUUGGGCCUAAUUUGGAAAAUUGGGCCAUAUGUUGGGCUUUGAUCCCUAGUUGACUUUGGGUCUAUGGAUUGGGCCUUGGGCUUGGGUAAGCCAAGCUAGGGGUAAUGUAGUAAUUAUCCAAAGCAUGUAUUUUUAGUUAUGUGUUAGAACCCAAUUAUUAAUUGGGUGUUAUUUGGUGUUGACAGUUCGGGAAUCUGUCAGCCAGCAGCUGGGGUGGAGUCUGCGGGACUUCAGCAGUGUGGGAUUGUGUCUGCGGGACUUCAGUAGUGUGAGGUGAGUUUCCUUCCAGUAGGAACGGGUCUACGGCCACAAUGCCGGCCCGUUUAGUUAGCAGUAGUUCCGGACUUCAGUCCGAUGCAGUAGUUCAGUAUGCUUGGUGUCUUUGUGAUACAGACAGGGUAUGAGUUAUGUGUUCCGGACUAUGGUCCGAUGCAGUAUGCGGUAUAUGUGUUUAGAUUAUAUGCUAUGAUUAUGUUAUGCUAUGUUCAGUUAGUUUUGGACCUCGGUCCGAUGCAGUAGUUAGAGUGCUUGAUGUCUUUGUGAUUCAAGCAUGUUUUGUGUUAUGUGUUCCGGACUCUGUUCCGAUGCAGUAUGCAGUAUAUGUAUUCAUGCUAGUUGAUAUGUUUAUGCUAUGUUAUGUUCAGUCAGUUCCGGACUUCGGUCCGAUGCAGGGGACAAGGUCCCAAUCAGUUCCGGACUUCGGUCCGAUGCAGUUAGUUCCGGACUUCGGUCCGAUGCAGAGGGCAAGGCCCUGGUUAGUUCCGGACUCCGGUCCGAUGCAGUUUCUGGACUUCGGUCCGAUGCAGAGGGCAAGGCCCUGGUUAGUUUCCGGACUUCGGUCUGAUGCAGUGGGCAAGGCCCAGUAGAUGCUUUAUAUGUUAUUGUAUGGUAUGUGGUAGUUUGGGGGAGCUCACUAAGCUUCGUGCUUACGGUUUUCAGUUUUGGUUUCAGGUACUCAGUUUUUAAAAGAGGAGCUCGGGAAGAUUGUAGUGCACACACCAUUUGUUCAACCUGGGAUGUUUAUACUCUGAUAUAUUUGACAAUUGUUAAGAUACUUUGAGAUACAUUCUUUAUG